This 236-nucleotide long non-coding RNA is filed under the name Aquilegia coerulea. RNAcentral describes it as "long non-coding RNA (ACOE_LNC000975)". Lineage: Eukaryota; Viridiplantae; Streptophyta; Magnoliopsida; Ranunculales; Ranunculaceae. The record is from RNAcentral.
GACAAAAGUUGCUGACGUGUUUGAGAGAGAGAUUUUGCUUAACAAAAUUUCAUUUAAGUGUAAUUUAAAUUUUAAACAACUCUCUACAAUAAAAAGGAUAACAUAGACAUUUAGUAGUCAUUAAGCACUUCAUGCAACAAACAUUAUUAGUGGUCCAGCACUUAAUUAAGUGUUGUAUUCAGCAUUUGUAUUAAGUUCAAUUAAGUGUACAAGUGAUUAAGCAGCGUAUUCAGCCA